Molecule: RNA transcript, 7260 nt
Organism: Phycodurus eques (leafy seadragon)
Lineage: Eukaryota; Metazoa; Chordata; Actinopteri; Syngnathiformes; Syngnathidae
Gene: llgl2
Gene name: LLGL scribble cell polarity complex component 2
Exons: 22
Source: RefSeq, a predicted model, not a curated record
AAAAAAAAACAGACUCACCCCCUCAUUAUUCUUGGGGACAUUAACACAGCUCAACCACAAACUCCCGAAAUACAUGCAGCACAACGACUGUCCUAUCAGGGAAAAUAACAUUUUAGCCACUGCUAUACUACACAUACCGUGCUAUACCUCUUAAUUCACUUAAUACCAACAUACAGGAAAAACUUAAAUGUGCGAAGCCUACGGUGAAAACAGUGAAAAAGUAGACCAACAAAGCAAAGAUAGAACUUCAAAGCUUUUAGACUACACCGACUGGAGUGUCUUUGAAAAUUCAGUUGGCAGCCUGGAUGAAUGUACGGACACUGUGACAUCCUAUAUCAGUUUCUGUGAAGAGGUGUGUGUGCCAACAAAGUCAUUUUGCAUGUUCAAUAACAACAAUUUGUGGUUCACUGCCAAACUUAAGCAACUUCGCCAGGCUAAGAGGACGCUAUCGAAGUGCGGAUAGAGCCCUGUAUAAUUGCGCUAGAAACCAGUUGACUAAAGAAAUUAUGCAGUAAAGUUCGAAAAACAGUUCACCACUAACCACUCAAAAUCAGACUGGCAUGCAUUACAAUCGCUAACCAAUUAAAGGCGACCAUCCCCCCCAAGCUGAGAACAAUAAAGUCUAGCUGAUGACUUGAACACAUUUUACUGCAGAUUUGAAAAAAAAAACGCCACCCCCCACCCACCCAGCCGCAUGACCGACCACCAUCGCACCUCUGACAACUCCUCCUUCGUUGACCUUCCACGAACACAAGGUGAGACGCAUCUUCAAAGAACAAGAGAUCAACAAAGCAGCAGGCCCAGACCUUGUGUUCCCAUCCUGCCUCAAAGUCUGCGCCGACCAGCUCGCUCCAGUCUUCACACAGAUCUUCAAUAGAUCUCUGGAAUUGUUUGAAGUACCAUCCUGUUUAAAACGCUACAACAUCAUCCCAGUCACCAAGAAACCUGCAAUCUCGGGUCUGAAUGACGAUAGGCCUGUCGCCCUGAUAUUUGUGGUCAUGAAGUCCUUUGAACGCCUUGUGCAGGACUACCUCAAGCGCAUAACAGGUCCCCUGCUGGACCCCCAAACUCCUCUUCUCCAGCUUAGCGUCUCACCUGCUACCUGCCAGUGGAUUUACAGCUUCCUGACGGGCAGGACACAGGAGGUUAGGCUGGGGGACAUCACAUCAUCUACACGCACCACCAGCACUGCGGCGCCCCAAGGUUGUGUCCUCUCUCCGCUGCUCUUCUCUCUCUACACGAACAACUGCACCUCAACGCACUCGGCUGUCAAACUCCUGAAGUUUGCAGACGACACCACAGUCAUCAGCCUCAUCAAAGACGGUGACAAGUCUGUGUAUUGACAGGAAGUGGAGCAGCUGGAGCUGUGGUGCGGCCAACGCAACCUGGAGCUGAACACACUCAAGACUGUAGAGACUGAUGAUCGUGGACUUCAGAAGGCAUCCUUCGCCAGAGCUGCCCCUCACGCUAUUCAACUGCCCUGUGUCUACCAUCGAGAGUUCCUGGGGAAUUAUAGUCUCUCAGGACCUGAAGUGGGAGAUCAACAUCAACUCCAUCCUCAAAAAGGCCCAGCAGAGGAUGUACUUCCUGCGGCUUCUGAGGAAGCACGGCCUGCCACAGGAGCUGUUGAGGAAGUUCUACCCAGCAGUCCUGUGUUCUUCCAUCACAGUCUGAUUUGGUUGCGGCUACAAAAAAGGACAAACUCCGACUGCAACGGACAAUCAAAAGUGCUGAAAAGAUUGUCGGUACCCCCCUACUGGCCCUUGAUGACUUGCACGCUGCCAGAACUAAGACAAGAGCAUGCAAAAUCCUCUUGGACCCUCCACAUCCUGGUCACCACCUCUUCCAGCUCCUUCCUUCAGUGCCCCACCAAGUGUGACCAGAGUGACAGCAGUCUUGGCCCACUCUUCUGGGGAGCUGUUGCUGCUGGGAACUGAGGGGGGGCAUGUCUUUAUUGUUCAGGUCCCUGGCUUCAGAGAGCUCGAAGAGAGGAACAUCAGCCUUGCUGAAGUUGCCAACAGUGUACCAGAUGAUUAUGUAGGGCAUAGAAGUUUAGAACAUGUUGAAGCCCUACAGGAGAACCCGGCUAACCCAAAUCACGUUGCUAUUGGUUAUGGACGAGGUCUUAUUGUCAUCUGGGAUCUUGAGAAACGGUGUGCUAUCCAGCACUUUCCGGCUACUCAGCAACUGGAAAGUGUGUGGUGGACAGAGGACAGAGGUUACAUUCUUAGUUCCCACAGUGAUGGAAGCUAUUGUCGUUGGACAUUUGGGGACGAGGAUGGAAAUGAGGUGGAGAAAUCAGAUAUUCCUUAUGGACAUUUCCCAUGCAAAGCGAUUUCUAAAAUAAUUCAGCUGCAAACAAAGGAGGGGACACCAUUCCUCAUCUUCAGUGGUGGCAUGCCCAGAGCCAGCUUUGGGGACAGGCACUGCAUUACUGUCAUCCAUAAUAAAACACAUGUCGCCUUGGACUUCACCUCCAGGAUCAUUGACUUCUUCGUCAUCAAAGAUGGACAACUGCAUAGUGGGGAUCCGAGCACAUUAGUGGUCUUGGUUGAAGAGGAGUUGGUAGCGAUUGACCUGAAGGAAGAGGGAUGGCCAGUCAUUCAGACACCUUACCUGGUUCCACUCCACAGUUCAGCAAUCACCUGCUCUCACCAUGUCUCUGCUAUCCCUCUCAAACUGUGGGAGAGAAUUCUUGCUGCUGGAGAGCUACAGAAGACAAGUUACUCAAAAAAGCCAUGGCCAAUAACCGGAGGGCAGAACUUGGCCCCAGAUCCUCCACAGAGAGAUCUCUUGCUCACAGGGCAUGAGGAUGGAACUGUGCGCUUCUGGGAUGCCUCAGGAGUCUGUCUGUAUCCCAUGUACAAAUUGAGCACGGCUGGAGUCUUCCACAUAGACACUGACCCCAAUGACAACAUGCAGCAAGGUGCUGAAGGAGAAUGGCCACCAUUCAGAAAGGUUGGCUGCUUUGACCCCUACAGUGAUGAUCCACGGCUUGGUAUUCAGAAGAUCCACCUAUGUAAAUACAGUGGUUAUCUUGCAGUGGCAGGAACAGCUGGACAGAUUCUGGUGCUGGAGCUCAAUGACGAGGCAGCAGAACAGACUGUGGAAGCGAAAGUUGUGGAUUUGCUGCUCGGCCAAGAAGGAUUCCGCUGGAAGGGGCACACACGUCUAGAUUUUCAAGAAGAGCCCGUCCUUUUUGAGGCAGGCUUCCAGCCCUUCUCUCUGGUGCAGUGUCAGCCUCCUGCUGUGGUCACCGCUCUUAGUCUUCACUCAGAGUGGAAGCUGGUUGCUUAUGGCACCAGCCAUGGCUUUGGAUUGUUUGAUUACCAACAGAAAAUGAAUGUAUUCAUCAAAUGCACUCUAAAUCCCAGUGACCAGCUGGCCAUGGAGGGUCCUCUGUCCAGGGUGAAAAGCAUUAAAAAAUCCCUCCGCCAGUCCUUUAGACGAAUCAGGCACAGCAGAGUCUCACUACAGAAACAUCAUGUCAACAACACUGCCAAGCUCCAGGAGGCAAAUGCUCGUUUGGAGGCCGAACUAGAAUUAGCUCCUGUCCAAAGGAAGAUUGAGGCUCGUUCUUCAGAUGAUUCUUUUACUGGUCUGGUGCGCAUACUUUACUUUGCUGACACCUUCCUCUCAGACAGUUCACAUAAUACGCCUUCCCUUUGGGCAGGGACCAAUGGGGGCUGUGUAUAUGUAUUCAUACUCAGUCUUCCUUCUGUCGAGCACAGGAUAGAUGAGCCCAUCACUGCACACCCUGCAAAAGAAAUCCAGCUCAUGCAUCGUGCCCCUGUUGUUGGCCUCGUUGUAUUGGAUGGUCACGGUGCUCCUCUUCCUGAGCCGUUGGAGGUAGCCCAUGACCUUGCUUGUUCACCUGAUACGCAGGGGUCCCAUCACCUUGUUGUUGUAUCUGAGGAACAGUUCAAGGUUUUCACCCUUCCUAAAGUGAGUGCCAAGAUGAAGCUGAAGCUAACAGCCAUGGAUGGCUCCAGAGUACGGCGGGUUGGCGUGGCUUGGUUCGGCAGCAGUCGAUCAGAGGAUUAUGGCGAGAGUGGCCUGGUGGUUUUGACAAAUCAAGGUGACCUUCAUGUGGUAUCACUACCGGGGGUGAAGCUGCAGGUGCAUUUCCCCUGUAUCCGCAAAGAAGAUGUAAGCGGCAUUGCUUCCUGUGUCUUCACAAAACAUGGCCAAGGCUUCUACUUGAUCUCGCCAUCUGAGUUUGAGCGCUUUUCGCUGUCCAGUCGCUUCCUCGUAGAGCCUAGCUGUCUUGUGGAGGUUCCAAUUGAUUUGGGCGCCUCAACUCAAGGUGUACCAAAGCGGGAUGGAUAUUUAUCUGCUCUCAGAGAAACCAGCCAAGAAUGUGAGAAUUCAGAUAGUUCAGCUAGACGUGUUAUGGAGCAUGCUUUGCUGAAUGAUGAGGAAGUGCUACAGGAGAUCCAAAAGUCACUAGAAGGAGACCAAGUUUAGCUGUAACACUAAUUCCCAUUACUUACGAAGAGGAUCUCAGUUCUGAUACCCAGAUGAUUGAACAUACACUCAGCAAAAAACAUGGAAAUCCUGUACCAGCAAUCACCUUUGGCUUUCAGAACCAACACAUUUGCCUCUGUGACUGAUCUACCCAAAGAUUCUCAGCUCCCCUUCUAAUGUCAUACCCUAGUGUUCUGGAGUAGCAUGUGCUGAGAGUACCAGUUCAACAGAGGCCUCACUUAUGUUGACGACAAAAGUUGAAGAAGGAGCACCACCACCUGUGACUGAUAAUCAUAAAAAGACAGAGCCAUUUUAGUCAGUGCUAUCUUUGUUUUUUGUUUUUUUGCAACUCAAAUGCCACAGUAUAUCACAGAGAAAAUUUAAAUUUCCAUUGUCUUACAUUGGCCUUGUUAGUCAUGUGAUGCCUUUUUAUUUAAAUCCCUUUCAAGCCUGUUUAAAAUGUAAUUUUAUGGUGAUAAAGUGGCUCAGUUGCUUUGUUUUACUCUGAUGUCUGCUGCCAGGUCGGCAUUGCCAAUGAGAAUCUGAUAAAGGUUAAAUAAAUAAAUACAUUUGCAUGAGACAGGACUACCCCCCUCAAAAUAGGCUGAUUUCAUCUGGGAACAGUUUUAAACUGUAAAAAAGAAUGCAUAUAAUCUCCUUUAAAUAGGAAAGCCUUAAUCAAUGGCAGCUAGUAUAUGUUACCUUAAAAUGCAUUAAUUUGUUGAGGUACUGGUCAAGUUUUAAGAUUUCACAUACAGGACCUUGUUAUAAUUUUUAUGUUUUAAAAAAUAUAUAUAUCAUUCCUCGUUUUUCAUUUCCUUAAUCUAGUUUAUAGGUUGAACUGAUGUCAUUUGACAAGGAAAUUAUAGUCGUGCACUUCAUGGAUCUCCACUUCCAUGAAUGUUUUAGGGGGAGGAAUAUUAUCAGUGACUUAAAUAGUACCACUGUGCAUGUACACUAACACUCUACUCCUGACCACUUGGUGCAAACUUUGUCAAAUGUCACAAUGACACAACUCUAAUGCAGUUAGCAGUGUUGGACCUGGAGGAGGCAAGAACUUUCUAUUGGGUUUGGGAUUUUGUGCUUUUAUGUAAAACAUUCAAUUCUAGCAAUGUAUAUUGUAAUUCAUGAAUGUGAUUUUUAAGAUAUUGUACUGAAAUCUUUUAUAAUAUAUUCAAUACAUAUGGUGGCUGGGAAGUGCAAAACAAUAGACCAAAUUGUGAGACACUUACAUUUCAGAAAACAAUUUCACAAAAGUUGAAACAAAUUUACAUUUCAGAAAACAAAUUAACAAAAGCCGAAACAAAUUACAAGUGACACAAACUGGAAAGGGAACAUACCAUAUCACAGAUUGAUGUGUAAGAUUCUCACAUGCAUUAUUACGAAUCCCAUGCAUUUUCCUGGAAGGAAACGCCCUGCUCCAAUAUUACUGGCUCCAGGACACGCGCCGCUGCACUAUGAUUGGCUGUUGUAUCCCGGUAGAACACGCCCUGCUGCUUCCAGACAGUAAAAGAAAUAUGAGACUUAACUGUGGCGGCGUAAUUAUAAAUGUCGUUAACCCUAAAGACUGCCAACACUGUGUAACGGGGUCGAAUCCAACUGGACCGGACCAUCGCAUAAAAAUAAGCGUUGCCGACGCACCCCCACACAUUGAGCUAUUGUUUAUAUGGACACCCUAGACAAAAUUUUAUGCUUUACAUACUAUUUAUAUGGCUUGAGCCGAGGCGACGCGACGACUCGCAAACGCGGAAAAGUAUUGUCACAGUGAAGGAAAGCAACUGUUCAUUUUGAUUGAAUGUAAACUGCGACGUUGAAACGCAGUGAAACUGAUAUUAAAAGUUUGAAUCACGGCAAAACCAAUGGCGGACCGAUCCCCAAUAUCUCUUGACCGAUCAGCCACUCAUGGAAGCAGUUGCCAAACCACGCACACUGCGCCAUAGUUCCGUCGGUUUCGGCAGCGUCGUUCGAUGUGGCCCAGCCUUAACCCUAACCCGCCAUAAUCCUAACCUUAACACAUCCUAAACUACUUUAGCCCCAGCCCUAGUCCUAAAACUAACCAUGACAAACACAUAUGCAUAGCCUACCCUCCCCACGAUGCAAGAACCAAUCAUGUUGAAGCGGGGAGCGUCUUGCCAAGAAAGGGCGUGGGAUUCCAAUGCGUCAAUCUGUGAUAUGGUACAUUCCCUUUCCAGUUUGUGUCACUUAAAAUAUGCUUUGGCUUUUGUUAAUUUGUUUCGUGUCUUAUUAAUUUGUUUUAUGAAAUGUAAAAGUGUUUUGGCUUUUGUUAAUUUGUUUUCUGAAAUGUAAUUUUGUUUCGUGUUUUGUUAAUUUGAUUUUAGAAAUGUAAAAGUGUUUCCGCUUUAGUUAAUUUGUUUUCUAAAAUGUAAAUUUGUUUUGAGUUUUGAUCAUUUGUUUUCUAAAAUGUGAAUUUGUUUUGACAUUUGUUAAUUUGUUUUCCGAAAUAUAAAAGUGUUUCAGCUUUUACUUCGUUUUCUAAAAUGUAAAUUUGUUUCAACAUUUGUUAAUUUGAUUUCUGAAAUGCAAAAGUGUUUCAGAAUUUGUUAUAUUGUUUUGCAUUUCCCAGCCACCGUAAAUUUGUGACUCGAUUUGUACCUUUUGGGUCUGUUCUAAGUGGGGCUGACUAGGUUGUACAAAAACAUUUGAGUACUUUGUUUCAAAAUGCUGGAUAUUUUAGUAUCUGCCUGGAAUAUAUUUUUGUAGUGAACUAAUUAAGCCCUUUUUUGUGACAUCACAUUGCAGAUGUGAAUUAUUAUUACAUGCUUUCAUCCCUGA